Molecule: ribosomal RNA, 261 nt
Filed under: Triticum aestivum (bread wheat)
Lineage: Eukaryota; Viridiplantae; Streptophyta; Magnoliopsida; Poales; Poaceae
Description: partial small subunit ribosomal RNA
Source: RNAcentral
AUGAAUGGUGAACGUAAGGUACACUGGAUCUCGUGGCGGAAAAUGUGUGCAUCGAAGCGGGACGGUGGAAUGGGUUUUAGAGACCCCGAGGCUUUCAAUCAAGCGCUGCUUGCGAAGCAAGCGUGGAGGAUUUUGCAGGUCCCAACUUCCUUGUGCGCUAGGGUGCUCAAGGCACGAUAUUUCAGCAACGACUUGAUCCUGACGGCUACUGCAACCUCGUCUACAUCCUAUACCUUUCGGAGUAUUUUACAUGGCAGGGAC